GGGACGUUGGAGGGGCGGCCGCAUGGAGUAAGUACUGUCUCUGGCCACCCAGCAGAGCCAGUGACAGUAGCGUCAUGGUAGGCAGGCAGGCGUAUCAGGUUUCAGAGGAUGCGGCUGGGAACGGGAGUAGAGGUGAGGGGACGUUGCAUCUGUCGCGGUGUGUAUCUUUUGGGGGUUCAGCGCCACCAGCGACCUGGGCCUCAUUCAUCGCGCUUACAUUUCUCCACCUCAUUUGAAGAACGAGCUUGGUAGCCCACGGAGCUGAGGUAUAUGAGCUCCCUGAAAGCACAAAGCAGUUAUUUCAAUCUUCAGAUCAUUCAGAGAUUAUGAAGGCACAAACCCUGCCUUCAAUUUGCUUAUAGUCAAGUGGAGCAGACACAAGUCAAUGAUGGCAGUAUAGCCACUUAAGUAAUCUAAAAGAGACUUAUCAGCAGGUUGCAGGUGAACAUGGCCUUGAGGUAAAUCUGUCCCUUGCUGAAUACAGUUUCAGUAGAUUGUUUAUAGUAGUUUCAGGAAUUGAGAUUUUUUACAAAAAUACAAAAGUUUUGCUUGGUUCUGUUCUAGAUGUUUUUCUUCUAAAUAAAUGAGAAAGAUGUUUCAACAAAGGCUCUUUAUGCUGAAUAAUUGUGAUGCUUGAAGUUGCUAAUCUGCUUUAAGUGGAUUUUAAAUGUCAGACAAUUCUAGACAGUUUUUUCUUGGUCAAAUAAAAAUUUAAUUAAAACUUUA
RNAcentral lists this non-coding RNA (726 nucleotides) under Pongo abelii (Sumatran orangutan). Lineage: Eukaryota; Metazoa; Chordata; Mammalia; Primates; Hominidae. The record is from RNAcentral.